Molecule: long non-coding RNA, 497 nt
Filed under: Brassica napus (rape)
Lineage: Eukaryota; Viridiplantae; Streptophyta; Magnoliopsida; Brassicales; Brassicaceae
Description: long non-coding RNA (BNAP_LNC014797)
Source: RNAcentral
UUUACCGAAAAACUGAAUAUUUUGUAAGGGUUAACACAUAGAAUUUGAGAAAAAUACGACAAUAUUGUUUUAAUGCAUAGUUGUAUAAUGAACUAACAUAUGAUGAUGGCCAGAGAGGUUUGGAACAUUUGUUGUCUCAGUUUCUCUAUAAUUGUGAUUUUAUUGUCGAUUGUCAACUGAUUUAUGGAAAAUAUGUACCUUGAAAGAGAGUUUAGACUACAUUAAUACAAAUGUGGAAUGUGGUUAGAAGUUUUAAAAUAACAUUAAAGAUUAUAGGAUUCAGUACAUUAUCCAUUUACUUAAAAACUGAAUAUGUUGUUGGGGUGUUAACACAUAGAUUUUGAGAAAAAAUCUACAAAAUAAAAAUAUUAUUUUAAUGCAUAGUUGUAUCAUGAACUAACAUAUGAUGGUGGUCAGAGAGGUUUGGAACCUUUGUUGUUUCUGCUUUUCUAGAAUACUGAUUUUAUUGUGGUUUGUCAACUGAUUUAGGGAGCAUA